Perca flavescens (yellow perch) is the source of this 2872-nucleotide long non-coding RNA. RefSeq lists it as uncharacterized. The record is from RefSeq and is a predicted model, not a curated record. The transcript is spliced from 2 exons. Lineage: Eukaryota; Metazoa; Chordata; Actinopteri; Perciformes; Percidae.
AAGGUGUACCUGCAUUAUUAUGCCAUUAUUAGAUGAAAAUUGUCUCAGAACGACAAUAUUAUCGUUUAUUGCAAUAAAUUCUGGGACAAUUUAUCGUCCAGCAAAAUUUGUUAUCGUGACAGGCCUAAACGCCAGCACAAUCAAGUCUUACACCAGGCUAUGCACUGGGUUUUUUUAAGAUUAUUUUGGGGGCUUUUCCCUUUAUUUUAAAGUGGAUAGAUAUGAAAGGGGGAGAGAGAUGGGGGAGGACAGCAAGUCGGAUCUGAACCCUGCGCCGCUGCAGGACUCAACAUGGGGUGAACGCUCUUAAUGGGUGAGCUAGAGGCCGCCCAACUUUUAGUUGCAGUUGUUUUGCGUUCCACUGUCAGUCAAAUUGAGUUGGAUGUAUGAAUAGCAUCUACAUUCAGUAUUCUGUGAACUCCAGUGUAACAGAGUCAAUGGACAGUAAAGCUUCCUCUGGCUAUAACCUCCACUAUACUUCUUUGCUUUGCCAUCCCAGCAUUUUGAAAAUGGCUCCAUAAUAACACACUAUGAAACCAUUAAGAGCUACUUUCACACAACACACUUAAACCACAAGCAUCAUCUCUCUUUCUCUCAUUCACUCUGUCCUUCUGUACGACUCUCUCUGGUCUUCCUAAAUAAACCACAGACAGAUUAAGGCACAGCUGGACACACUGUGCAUUCCUGAAGUGUCAAGCUAAACCAUGCUUUUAACCCUUAUUCAGCCAGGUGGCUAGUGUUAUGGAAUAAAUCAGAAGUAUUCAUGUACAGUAAUACUGUAUGUGAAAUUUCCACUUUUGUAGAUAAAGAUAUGUUGAGUCUUAUAGAUGUGAUUGUGGAGAUGAACUCCCUUUAGUCCAGGAACUGUUGCUAAUGUGAACACUGUAGUGUCCGUCCUGUAGAUUGAUGUUACACUGUCAAAUGAUAAUAAGUCUACAGUGGAGGCACACACAGCAGGGGCAGCAGCCUAAAGGGAUUUAUGCUUCUGCGGAGGUUCCACGCAGAGCUUUCGCCGUAGCCUACGUGAGUGGACUACUAAGAAUUGCAGGGCCGGCAUGUGUUGUGUGCAUUGGGAGUGUGUGUGUAGAGCAAGUGAGAGAGUGACGGUUAUUUACUUCGGCGCGAUUACAGACUCUAUAGGCAUAGAUGGAGAAACAAAGUGUCUCCCCUGUGCUUUUUUGACAAAGGUGGGAAAUCUGUAGCAGGAAAAGUUAACCCUCUCCUUGAUUUCAUGUUGUUUAUGGAGAAGGAGAACCAGGAAAUGAGUUGGGGGAAAUGCAACGCUACAAAGCCGCGGCCGAGCGGACCAAUCAUGGUUGUUUUUGCGAUCUGCUUCGUCUCAACGUGUAGUUAAAUUUUUUGAGAGGUGCACAUCAGGUUACGGCGAGGGUCCGUAUCUUUACGUACGUACCCACGCCGUCGAUUUAUCGCAGAAGUAUAAAUUGGCAUUUAGCAACAGAAAAGGCAUAAAGCAUAAACUUCCAUAAGUGGGAAGUGCCAAGUUGGAUUUAUUGGAGUUUUCCCGUCAUAAUUAUGCCUUGGAUGUUGACGCCAAUGCUAUUUAGAAGUCAGAAACGGGUGACAUAGUAACUCCAAUAUGACUUGAACACGGCAGAAUCUACAGAACACAUAAGGCAAAAUAUAUUGUAUGCCGAAGACAUUAACCUUUAUGUUAGCUGACCCAGACAUCAGUUGUGCAAGCAGACCUAACAAAACAAGCUUGAUUUAAAGUAUGAAUCUGGGUGUUCUACCUCCGAGGAAUCAGUGACUCCAGAGUCCUUCCACUGUAAUGACACACUAAGUAUACUGUAAUUAAAUAGGUAAUAACAGACAGAUACUGUUGAUGCUUCAGCAGAAACCUCAGUCAGUAUGUUAUAAAUGGGAUUCAUAAUAAUAACUGUAGCAUUGCUCAUUAAUAUCUACAGUGAGACACCAUUUCUACUGUUCAAAUUCAUUCUUCAAGUGGUCUGAAGGGUUAAUGGCCUUUUGUUCUGACUCCCAGCAGAGACUCUGCUCACUGUACAGCUGUGAGAUCUGGAUUUAAUAAAGCAAUUCAAUCACAUGAGUUUAUUUGGAAUAUUUAGAAGAGGUUAAACUGUGUGUGUGUGUGUGUGUGUGUGUGUGUGUGUGUGUGUGUGUGCGUGUGCGUGCGUGUGCGUGUGCGUGUGUACAAGAGUGGGCGGGUUAUUCUUCUGCAAAUAGAUUUUCAAAGGUAAAAUUGAAAACAACUUUAUCGUGUUAUCGCAUCAAAAUGCCAUUAUAUCAAGGGUUUAAUGGGUCCUGGAGAUCCCUGAACUGUUUUUCUGUUUCUGUGGUACCCUGGGAAAAAUACAAACAAUAACUGCCCCGGUGUUUUGUAGAAAUGUACAACAGCUGAGACUGAUCACCUGAACUGAUGAUCAGGGUGACUGAUUGGUGUUUGGUAACUGCUAGUGAAGGGGUGUAUAACUUUUUACUAACUUUUCCGAUCCAGUCCUCAAAUCUAACCCAUAUUUCUGUCAUGGUGCUGUCUGUUUUCCCUCUCCCCUCUCCCUUGUUUUUUGUCUGUCAUGUGCUGAGUGGGUGUGGCGCUCCUGGCUCUCUCCCUCCUCGUCGAGACACCUGUGGCUUCCUGUUCACCUGAUUCACAUCCAGCAAUCACCUCUCCUGUUUUAAAACCCCAGCCUUCCAACCAGUCUCUGCCAGAUCGUCCGUUCACCUAAGUGAUUCCCACUACAGCCCUGGAAGCCCAGUCUGCCUGUCUGAGCCUUGUUCUUCUCUCAAACCUGUUUCUCACCUGUCUGCCCGCUCUCAGCCCCAGGGGAUAUCCAGCACCUGCAUUACUCAUUUUUUGUGUUCAAUAAACCUCAACCUUUUCGUGUCUGUGCUUGAA